ACAUGAUAUCUAAACGAUACGAGAUUCCUAAAACAUGUCUCUUCGUUCGUAACUCAACGUUCCCAAAAAAUCAUAAAUGAUUUCUACGAAAACUCACCUCUCGAACGAACUAACAUAUUGAACGCCUCAACGAAGAUAAAUAUGAGUAAACUCACCUCUCGAACGAACUAACAGAUUGAACGCCCAACUAACAGACAACUCAUGUUCACUUCAAACCCGCUCUAAACAAAGUAAACCCAAACAUACAUCCAUUAUAUAAACCGCAUAGCGGUAGGAGUUCAAGGCCACACUCGGCCAGACAUAUAUGAACAAAGGCCACACUCGGCCGCUAAAUACUAGAUAAAGGGAAAAACUCUUUCCCGCCAAAACACUCACAGGUCAAAGUUGAAACUCCCGGACAAGGAAGCCCCGAAUGCAUCCGCGGGAAAGUUCAC
This 434-nucleotide long non-coding RNA is filed under the name Brassica napus (rape). RNAcentral describes it as "long non-coding RNA (BNAP_LNC024431)". Lineage: Eukaryota; Viridiplantae; Streptophyta; Magnoliopsida; Brassicales; Brassicaceae. The record is from RNAcentral.